RNAcentral lists this ribosomal RNA (293 nucleotides) under uncultured bacterium. RNAcentral describes it as "partial 16S ribosomal RNA". It matches the Rfam family "Archaeal small subunit ribosomal RNA", at positions 455 to 747 of the family's 1478-position model. The record is from RNAcentral.
GUGCCAGCCGCCGCGGUAAUACCGGCAGCCCGAGUGAUGGCCGAUAUUAUUGGGCCUAAAGCGUCCGUAGCUGGCCGAACAAGUCCAUCGGGAAAUCCACCCGCCCAACGGGUGGCCGUCCGGUGGAAACUACACGGCUUGGGACCGGAAGGCGCGACGGGUACGUCCAGGGUAGGAGUGAAAUCCCGUAAUCCUGGACGGACCGCCGAUGGCGAAAGCACUUCGAGAAAACGGAUCCGACAGUGAGGGACGAAAGCCAGGGUCUCCAACCGGAUUAGAUACCCGAGUAGUCC